This 453-nucleotide ribosomal RNA is filed under the name uncultured bacterium. Its description in RNAcentral is "bacterial SSU rRNA". It matches the Rfam family "Bacterial small subunit ribosomal RNA", at positions 328 to 794 of the family's 1533-position model. The record is from RNAcentral.
UUUCCAGACUCCUACGGGAGGCAGCAGUGGGGAAUAUUGGACAAUGGGGGGAACCCUGAUCCAGCGACGCCGCGUGAGUGAAGAAGUAUUUCGGUCUGUAAAGCUCUAUCAGCAGGGAAGAAAGAAAUGACGGUACCUGACUAAGAAGCCCCGGCUAACUACGUGCCAGCAGCCGCGGUAAUACGUAGGGGGCAAGCGUUGUUCGGAAUGACUGGGCGUAAAGGGUGCGUAGGCGGUGUGGCAAGUUAGAAGUGAAAUACCUAGAGCUUAACUCAGGUGCUGCUUCUAAAACUGCUAUACUUGAGCGCAGUAGAGGAAAGUGGAAUUCCUAGUGUAGCGGUGGAAUGCGUAGAUAUUAGGAGGAACAUCAGUGGCGAAGGCGACUUUCUGGACUGUAACUGACGCUGAGGCACGAAAGUGUGGGGAGCAAACAGGAUUAGAUACCCUAGUAUA